Molecule: long non-coding RNA, 538 nt
Filed under: Sarcophilus harrisii (Tasmanian devil)
Lineage: Eukaryota; Metazoa; Chordata; Mammalia; Dasyuromorphia; Dasyuridae
Description: lncRNA (ENSSHAG00000024307.1)
Source: RNAcentral
AUUUCAACCUUCCUUAACUAAAAGGAAAGGAUCAUCUUUAAGAAAGGCUCUGAAUUAAAUAAGAUGAAGCAAGCACACUCCAGCAGACCUCCGUUUGGCGAUCCAGCACUUUAGCAGCAUGAAGCCAGCCUCAGCAUGCUGUGAACAUAUUCAAAGCAACUUCAUGGUCACCAGUCAUCUAUGUCUUUUCAAUGGACUCUGAAGACUGGAGGAAAGAGUGAGGCUGAUAAUUCUGAAUAGAUCAAUCUCACUUCAAUCCGAUUCAUCUACAAGUCAGCACAUUACCUGCAUCUGAUGUCAUUGGUCUUGCUUCAAGAACAGAGAACAACAAUUUCUACAUCAUACAAUCAACCUAAUCUACAAACAUUUGAGUUGUGUCUGUGAGCUUCUUAAAAGCAGAGGUAAAAAGGGAAAGCAUUCCAAGAAUGGUGGAUAGCCAGUGCAAAAAGACAGAAAUUAUUAUUGGAGUGUCACAUGGAUGGAAGUGGAAACAGUGAGGUGAUUCAGGCCAGUUCCAACAGUUUUGUGAUGAAGAGAG